CCUGAUCUUCAUCUAUACACAAAAUUAAGUGAUAGAAUUUUAUAUUCAUUUCCCCAUGCGAAUUUUAAUAAAUUUACAUGUAAAGGGGGAGUUAUGAGUAUCAAAGAACAAUCAUACCAACACAUCUGGACCUUUUAUGGUACAAGCUUUGUCUAUUGAUCCUCUCCUAUUAGCUUUUUUAAGUUCGCAUUUUCAUCAUUGUCAAUUUUGCUCCUUUAAACUAUAUCGACUUGAACUU
RNAcentral lists this long non-coding RNA (238 nucleotides) under Olea europaea (common olive). Its description in RNAcentral is "long non-coding RNA (OEUR_LNC011236)". Lineage: Eukaryota; Viridiplantae; Streptophyta; Magnoliopsida; Lamiales; Oleaceae. The record is from RNAcentral.